GUGGCGGAAGGGCGAGUAAUGCGAGAGCAAGCUACCCCUCGAACCGGGACAACGUUUGGAAACGAACGCUAAUACCGGAUACGAAGCGCGGUCAUAUGGCCGUGUCUUGAAAGGUGGGGAUCCGCAAGGACCUGCCGUCGAAGGAGGCGCUCCCGUGCCAUCUGCUAGUUGGUGAGGUAAUGGCUCACCAAGGCUUACGGCUAGGUGGACUGAGAGGUCGGUCACCCGCGCUGGGACUGAGACACUGCCCAGACUCCUACGGGAGGCUGCAGUCGAGGAUCAUUCGCAAUGGGCGAAAGCCUGACGAUGCGACGCUGCGUGUAGGAUGAAGGCCUUCGGGUCGUAAACUACUGUCAUGUGGGGCAAGGGAGCCGGUGUGAAUAGCGCCUGGCUUUUGAUGGUACCACAAGAGGAAGCCACGGCUAACUCUGUGCCGGCAGCCGCGGUAAUACAGAGGUGGCGAGCGUUGUUCGGAUUUACUGGGCGUAAAGCGUGCGUAGGCGGUCGCGUAUGUCGGAUGUGAAAUCCCGGGGCUCACCCCCGGAAGUGCAUCCGAAACUGCGUGGCUAGAGGCCGGGAUGGGUGACUGGAACACAUGGUGUAGCGGUGAAAUGCGUUGAUAUACAGUGGAGCACCGGAGGCGAAGGCGAGUCACUGGAACGGAUCUGACGCUAAGGCACGAAAGCGUGGGGAGCAAACAGGAUUAGAUACCCUGGUAGUCCACGCUGUAAACGGUGCACAUUUGCCGUAGGGGGAAUUGACCCCCCCUGUGGCGUAGCAAACGCGUUAAAUGUGCCGCCUGGGGAGUACGGCCGCAAGGUUAAAACUCAAAGAAAUUGACGGGGGCCCGCACAAGCGGAGGAGCAUGUGGCUUAAUUCGAUGCAACGCGAAGAACCUUACCUAGACUUGACAUGUACUGCACGACCGGUGAAAGCCGGUUUCCUUCGAGGGUGUCACACAGGUGCUGCAUGGCUGUCGUCAGUUCGUGCCGUGAGGUGUUUGGUUAAGUCCACCAACGAACGCAACCCCUGCGUCCAUUUGCCAUCAGGUAAUGCUGGGAACUAUGGACGGACUGCCCCUUCAAAAGGGAGGAAGGUGGGGAUGACGUCAAGUCAGUAUGGCCCUUACGUCUAGGGCUGCACACGUGCUACAAUGGCCGGUACAGAAGGAUGCAAGACCGCGAGGUGGAGCAAACCCCUAAAACCGGCCCCAGUUCAGAUUGGAGUCUGCAACCCGACUCCAUGAAGUUGGAUUCGCUAGUAACGGCGCAUCAGCAUUCGGCGCCGUGAAUACGUUCCCGGGCCUUGUACACACCGCCCGUCACAUCAUGAAAGCCGUCUGCACCCGAAGCCGGUGCCUCAACCAGCAAUGGAGAGAGCCGUCUAAGGUGUGGGUGGUGAUUGGGAUGAAGUCGGAACAAGGUA
RNAcentral lists this ribosomal RNA (1425 nucleotides) under metagenome. RNAcentral's name for it is "bacterial SSU rRNA". It matches the Rfam family "Bacterial small subunit ribosomal RNA". The record is from RNAcentral.